CGAGUCGGCGGCCUGGGCGCCCGGGGAGCUGGCCCCGCGCGGCCCGGCGCGGCCCCGACCCGCCGCCGGCGCCGGGAGCCCGGUGGCCCCCAAACAGAGCGCUGAGGACCACCCAGAGGGCAGCAGUGUCUCUGAAGCCCCAGGCAGCUGCUACGAGAGGCCCGAGAGGCCAUCCACCAUCACCUACGACUACUCCGAGGAAGAGCUGAUGGCCAGCAUUGAGCAGGAGUACUGCUGCUGAGGCCGGUGCUGCAGCAGCCCCGCUGUCACCCAGCGGCCAGUUUGCUGCUCCUCCCAGACCUGGCCCCACCUGCCCUGCCCAAGGCUCUAGGUGGAGCUGAGCCCCCUCCAACACGCAGUUACUCCUGGAUCUGUCACAGCUGACCCUUUCAAGUCCACAUUCAGAUGGGCCUGAAUCGGGGUGGCUGCUGCCCAUUGUGCUUAUUGGCAAGAGGAGGUCAGCUCUGUGGACACGGGCCAGAAGGAGGGUGCAGGUGCUGCCCCACAGGCGCGGGGCCAGGUGACCUGCCACAUACCUGCCCCUCCCCUCAGUCUCUGGGGAGAGUGGGCUACAAGAUGCUCCUGGAUCUUGAAAUGCUUCUCCUUUCUGAUGGCCCACUGGCCACCUGCUCAGGAGGCCCUUGAGCUGAAUGAAAGUCUUGGGGCCUCUAACACCCCUGCCGCAGCGCCUCAGGGACGUUCCCCGCAGCAGGUGCACCCAGCUGGAGGGAGCUGGAGGGAGCCACCCUCCAUGCCGCAAAGGAAUCGCUGAAGAUGCUACUGAAAUGAAAACAUUCAGAUUCUGUGUGUCUGGGGGCCUGGGAGUCUGCAUUUCUCACCAGCUCCCGGGUGAGACCCAGGCUGCCAGAUCCCAGCCACCCUUGGAGCAGCGAGGAUUGAGUCUGAGCUUUAGGCUCCAGGUAAUGCUUCCCUGGAGCUGGAGGCUGCUCAGAGCCACAGCCCAGCUGCCUCCACAAAGAGAGGCCUGUGCUGUGGCCAGUGUGGAGGGACAGGAGCUGGAAACCCCCCGUCUGAUCCUUGCUCUGUCACUAACUUGCAGUCACCUUCCCUCUCUGACUCAGCUUCCCUUUCUAGAAAGGGAGCCCCGGAGGCUCUUCGGGUGUUGUCUCCCCACCCCCCCAUCUAGGACGACACACUCCCAGGCUUCCCUGGUCUCUGGGCACAGGACCGCCUUCCUGCCCAGGUGGAGCCCAGCACCCCUUGGACAGGCUCUUCAGGGCCGCCUGCUCUUCCCACCCAGGAAGAAAGUAGGAAUCUCACAGCCGCAAGGCCAGAAGAGCCUCAGAACCUUCCCAGCCGCCAAAGGAGAAAGCCAGCCAAGGAUGCCCUGUGAACGAGGCAGGGCCCGGAGAAGUGCAGCCUGGCCGGAAGGCUGCGUUCAGCAGGCUCGGAGUGUCAGAGCGGCCGGGAAGCAGCUCCUCUGGGGCAGCUGGCUGCGGUGUCGGUACAGAAAGCCUCGUGGAAGGCAUGGCCGCGUCCCAGCCAGAACAGGUCUCAGCUUGUCUGGUGUUAACCACUCACACAGCCGCCUCUGGGGCAUCGCCCACCAGCGAAGGGGCAAGAUGGUCUCAGAAACCGAGGAACGACCUCUUGGCCCUGUCCCCAGACCCAUGGGCCUGUUGCUAAAAGGGGCAAAGAGGUGUUUCCACGAACCUUUAAGACUUGGCAACUGUGCCUUUGAUCAGAUGGUCCAGGAGUGGGAGAUUUUAACCUGCAAGUCAGAAGAUGGAGCGCUGGAGCCUCCCACUAAAUGCCCCUGAGGGUUGGCUCAGAAUGUCCCCAAAGCAAGCGCUAUUUCUCAUCCAAGCCCAGACCUUUCAUUUUGAUAUGGAGAUUAAAGCCAAUACUAUUUCGAGAACACAAAUACUUCUUUUAAAAGAAGUUAUGACUUUCUCACCACUGGAUGGAUCAGACCUUGAAUUUAAUGAUGUGAAAUUGGAAACCUCAUCCAACCCUUAAUGAGAUAAAAGCACGAAGAACAAAAAAAGCUUCCUGAAGUUACAUUUUAUGUCACUGUCAAGGCGAAUGCACUUCAUCAGAGCUAAGAAGUCACAGCGGUUGUUCUCAGAUCUUUUUAUUUUUAUUUUUUGCUUCCCUGAAUUCAGGAACAGCGUCUUCUGAACAGCGGCUUGCCAAAAAAGCAGCGUGUCCCAGCCCGUGAUGCGGAGAUGGGCGAUGGACAGAGGACGCUUGGUGGUGGCAGGGGUGCUGGUCCUGGUGGCGACUGCUUGUUGCACUCAAUGGGCACACAGUGCCUCCUGGGUGCUGAGCACUGCUUCAGGCCUUCUCUUGGGUGCUGGGUGCUGCUUCUGAGCCCCCGCUUCUGCUUAGGAGCUGAGUGUGGCAUCUGCUCAGGGAGAAUGUGGCUGAAAUAAAGGCGGGAAAAGACCCUUCCAUGUUGAAAGUAACAAUGGGAGUUCCCCCUGUGGCUCAGCAGGUUAACAACCGACAUAGUGUCCCUGAGAACAUGGGUCCCAUCUCCGUCCUUGCUCAGCGGGUUAAGGAUCUGGCCAUGCUACAGGCUGCAGUCUAGGUCACAGACUCUGCUAGGAUCUGAUGUCGCUGUGCCUGUGGUGUAGGCUGGCAGCUGCAGCUUGGGUUAGAUCCCUAGUCUAGGAAGUUCCAUAUGCCGCAGGUGUGGCUAUAAAAAGAGAAAAAAAAGUGACAAUGACAGGUUGAAAGUCUCAGUGCUACAGAUGUGUCUCUUGAUUUCUGUGGUGGCAAUUCCCUCUGAGAUGCUACAAAGCCCGGGAGUUAAGAAAACAUGCUUGGAGUUCCCAUUGUGGCGAAGCGGAAAUGAAUCCAACUAGGACCCAUGAGGUUGCAGGUUCCAUCCCUGGCCUUGCUCAGUGGGUUAAGGAUCUGGCGUUACCGUGAGCUGUGGUGUAGGUUGCAGACGUGGCUCGGAUCCCCCCCUUGCUGUGGCUGUGGUGUAGGCCGGUGUCUACAGCUCCGAUUCGACCCUUAGCCUGGGAACCUCCAUAUGCAGCCCUAAAAAGAUAAAAGACAAAAAAAAAAAGAAAAGAAAAGAAAAA
This 3056-nucleotide long non-coding RNA is filed under the name Sus scrofa (pig). RNAcentral describes it as "lncRNA (ENSSSCG00035042383.1, ENSSSCG00065030591.1)". The record is from RNAcentral. Lineage: Eukaryota; Metazoa; Chordata; Mammalia; Artiodactyla; Suidae.